GUCGGAGUGGCGGAAUUGGCAGACGCGCACGUUUGAGGGGCGUGUGGGACAACCGUGCGGGUUCAAGUCCCGCCUCCGACACCA
RNAcentral lists this transfer RNA (84 nucleotides) under Syntrophomonadaceae bacterium. RNAcentral describes it as "tRNA-Leu". It matches the Rfam family "tRNA". Rfam says of the family: Transfer RNA (tRNA) molecules are approximately 80 nucleotides in length. Their secondary structure includes four short double-helical elements and three loops (D, anti-codon, and T loops). Further hydrogen bonds mediate the characteristic L-shaped molecular structure. tRNAs have two regions of fundamental functional importance: the anti-codon, which is responsible for specific mRNA codon recognition, and the 3' end, to which the tRNAs corresponding amino acid is attached (by aminoacyl-tRNA synthetases). tRNAs cope with the degeneracy of the genetic code in two manners: having more than one tRNA (with a specific anti-codon) for a particular amino acid; and 'wobble' base-pairing, i.e. permitting non-standard base-pairing at the 3rd anti-codon position. RNAcentral also lists the same sequence under 2 other names. The record is from RNAcentral. Lineage: Bacteria; Bacillati; Bacillota; Clostridia; Eubacteriales; Syntrophomonadaceae.